Molecule: ribosomal RNA, 503 nt
Filed under: uncultured bacterium
Lineage: Bacteria
Description: partial 16S ribosomal RNA
Rfam family: Bacterial small subunit ribosomal RNA
Source: RNAcentral
GAUGAACGCUAGCGGCAGGCCUAACACAUGCAAGUCGAGGGGUAGCAGGAUUAAGCUUGCUUAAUUGCUGACGACCGGCGCACGGGUGCGUAACGCGUAUGCAACCUACCUUAUACUGGGGUAUAGCCCGGAGAAAUUCGGAUUAAUCCCCCAUAGUACUAAUGAAUCGCAUGGUUUAUUAGUUAAAGCAUUGCGGUAUAAGAUGGGCAUGCGUCCUAUUAGCUAGAUGGUGAGGUAACGGCUCACCAUGGCUACGAUAGGUAGGGGGCCUGAGAGGGUGGUCCCCCACACUGGAACGGGGACACGGACCAGACUCCUACGGGAGGCAGCAGUGAGGAAUAUUGGUCAAUGGGCGCAAGCCUGAACCAGCCAUGCCGCGUGCAGGAAGAAUGCCCUAUGGGUUGUAAACUGCUUUUAUUUGGGAAUAAACCUCUUUACGUGUAGAGAGCUGAAGGUACCAAAUGAAUAAGCACCGGCUAACUCCGUGCCAGCCGCCGCCGUAA